CAGCCGCCGCGGUAAUACGGAGGGGGCUAGCGUUGUUCGGAAUUACUGGGCGUAAAGCGUGCGCAGGCGGUUUGUUAAGACAGAUGUGAAAUCCCCGGGCUCAACCUGGGAACUGCAUUUGUGACUGGCAGGCUAGAGUAUGGCAGAGGGGGGUGGAAUUCCGCGUGUAGCAGUGAAAUGCGUAGAUAUGCGGAGGAACACCGAUGGCGAAGGCAGCCCCCUGGGCCAAUACUGACGCUCAUGCACGAAAGCGUGGGGAGCAAACAGGAUUAGAUACCCCCGUAGUCCCUGUCUCUUAUAC
RNAcentral lists this ribosomal RNA (301 nucleotides) under uncultured bacterium. Its description in RNAcentral is "partial 16S ribosomal RNA". It matches the Rfam family "Bacterial small subunit ribosomal RNA", at positions 509 to 807 of the family's 1533-position model. The record is from RNAcentral.